UUUUUUUUUUUUUUUUUUUCCCUUAUCUCAUUCAAGAGGUGGGCGUGUUUGUUUGCACAUCAAUUACUCUGUGAUGCAUUGGGUUACAAACACAGUAAAGGCAGCAGCAAAACGCAAGCUAGUCGAUUGCUUUUGUUUUGAAUGCAUGGGGGUACUAGACACAUUGCGAAUGGGAUAUCUCAGCGGUGAAAUGACGGAUUCGAAAAAUUCCUUCGCUGUUUGACGAAAACUACAUUUAUAAAUCGAUAUGGAUCACUUAAGAGCGGUAUAUCGCUACCUCAGCACAGGUGAGUAUCCUGAAAAAGCCACCAAAGAAGAGAAGAGGGGUAUCAGAAAGAAAGCCAGUACAUUCGUUUUGAAAGCUGGAUCUCUUACUCCUUUCCCGAGCUGUGAGAGAACUCCCCUCCCAGAGGUACAUUUCUGUGAUGUGGAGGUCUACUGCACAUGCAGGAGACCAUACAGGAUUGGACUGGAGCUGAUGGUGGAAUGCGGGAGGUGUGGCGAAUGGUUCCAUGGCCAGUGUGAAGAUCUACAGCCAGAUGACCUCAUAAGUAUGGAGGAGUAUAUGUGCUGCAUUUGCAGAGUUACACACAUGGGUAAGCAUGUAAGUAAAGGUGAAACAGAUUUAUUAUUUUGUUUUUUACUAUAUGUUUUUUUGAACAUUUUAUACUAAGCAUUCCAGCUUAGUAUUAUACUAACACUAAAAUUUGGUAAUGCCUGUCAAACAACUUUACCAUAAUUUAUAACUAUUUACAUAUGUACAGUAGGGCAUUGUUAAUAAGGCUCAUUGUCUUCAGUGUUUAUUUUUCAUGAACACACAACUACUUAUUUUGAAGACUUUUUUUUUCAGGAGACCUUGGUUCUGUAUUGAGACGUUUUUAUUUGGAGAAAUAUUGCAGAUGCUUUUGCACUUUCAUUUUUAAUUGGUAUGGUAGUCUUAGUUUCUGAGCUACUGAAUUAUUGCCUGACUUGAGUAUUUCCAGGGCAGAGAUAUCCAAAGUAAACUGGAUGUCAGUUCUAACACCCACCUUGUUUUAAUGUAGUUAUUGUGAACCAGCUGGGGGAGGGGUUGAUUCACUGUAUUGAAGUGAAUUUGUGCCAAAUAAGGUGGGUGUAACAUGAUAUAAAAGUACAGUAAAUGUAAUUCUGAAGUAAUAAACAACUUCACAUUUUACAUGUGCAUGUUACAGACAGUACAUGUAAUGCUUCAAUUUCAAAUUCGAUUUCCAUUCCUAUUAAAUGAUAUUAGACAAUUACGUACUAUACAAGUUAACAGUAUGAAAUGUCAUUUUUAGACAGACAGCCUCUUUAAAGUCUUUCUUUUUUUGUGGGUUAUGUGAGAAGGCAUUUUAAAGUUCUGUUAAACCUGCUCCUAACACCCCACUCCAUAGGUCAGGACCUUGACGUGGUGAGUGGGCUUUUUACCAAAGCUGACCUACAGUAUAGCUUUUUUUUCACCACUGCUUACGCAUUAAGUCCUGGAUAGCACUUUACAAUGGAAAUAUGCAAUCUGAUCAUGUACUGAUCAUGUUUUAUUGUGAAGAAUACAGAAAAUAAAGUUUGUUACAUUUUUCAA
Acipenser ruthenus (sterlet) is the source of this 1576-nucleotide long non-coding RNA. RefSeq lists it as uncharacterized. NCBI's taxonomy places the organism in Eukaryota, Metazoa, Chordata, Actinopteri, Acipenseriformes, Acipenseridae. The record is from RefSeq and is a predicted model, not a curated record. The transcript is spliced from 3 exons.